UGGGGAAUAUUGGACAAUGGGCGCAAGCCUGAUCCAGCCAUGCCGCGUGAGUGAUGACGGCCCUAGGGUUGUAAAGCUCUUUCACCGGUGAAGAUAAUGACGGUAACCGGAGAAGAAGCCCCGGCUAACUUCGUGCCAGCAGCCGCGGUAAUACGAAGGGGGCUAGCGUUGUUCGGAUUUACUGGGCGUAAAGCGCACGUAGGCGGACUUUUAAGUCAGGGGUGAAAUCCCGGGGCUCAACCCCGGAACUGCCUUUGAUACUGGAAGUAUUGAGUAUGGUAGAGGUGAGUGGAAUUCCGAGUGUAGAGGUGAAAUUCGUAGAUAUUCGGAGGAACAACAGUGGCGAAGGCGGCUCACUGGACCAUUACUGACGCUGAGGUGCGAAGGCGUGGGGAGCAAACAGG
Molecule: ribosomal RNA, 404 nt
Filed under: Actinomycetes bacterium
Lineage: Bacteria; Bacillati; Actinomycetota; Actinomycetes
Description: Actinobacteria bacterium partial 16S ribosomal RNA
Rfam family: Bacterial small subunit ribosomal RNA
Source: RNAcentral